RNAcentral lists this ribosomal RNA (497 nucleotides) under uncultured bacterium. RNAcentral describes it as "partial 16S ribosomal RNA". It matches the Rfam family "Bacterial small subunit ribosomal RNA", at positions 28 to 507 of the family's 1533-position model. The record is from RNAcentral.
GAUGAACGCUGGCGGCGUGCCUAAUACAUGCGAGUCGAGCGAACAGACGAGGCGCUUGCUCCUCUGACGUUAGCGGCGGACGGGUGAGUAACACGUGGAUAACCUACCUAUAAGACUGGGAUAACUUCGGGAAACCGGAGCUAAUACCGGAUAAUAUAUUGAACCGCAUGGUUCAAUAGUGAAAGACGGUUUUGCUGUCACUUAUAGAUGGAUCCGCGCCGCAUUCGCUAGUUGGUAAGGUAACGGCUUACCAAGGCAACGAUGCGUAGCCGACCUGAGAGGGUGAUCGGCCACACGGGAACUGAGACUCGGUCCAGACUCCUACGGGAGGCAGCAGUAGGGAAUCUUCCGCAAUGGGCGAAAGCCUGACGGAGCAACGCCGCGUGAGUGAUGAAGGUCUUCGGAUCGUAAAGCUCUGUUAUUAGGGAAGAACAAAUGUGUAAGUAACUAUGCACGUCUUGACGGUACCUAAUCAGAAAGCCACGGCUAACUACGUG